AAUACGGAAAAAUUACUGGUACUUCGCUCGAAAGGUAUGGUAUGACCUUACUGCGACGAAUGUGUCUUGGUGGACCUGGAGCCUUUUUAUACCCAUCGCAGGAAUUUGGAUGCCGACGACUCACGAACACCUCGGAAUCAAUCGUGGGAUUAAAAUGCAAUUGAGAAAACUUAAUGGAAAUAGAGUACGGAUACAUGAAAACGGUGAAAACAGCGGGACAAAAGUUGGUCACAUGUGUACAAGAAAACCGGGGGAAACAUGAUUUAUAUUAUAUUUUGCCAAAUGUAUGAUCCUUCAUUUAACAGGGCUUCCCAAGUUUCAGGCAUUUGUGGUUCUUUACUGCCCUAAGAACAACCAGGGCUGAAAACAAUGGAGGCCAGGGACUACAACAUAGUCAACGGAGAACUAGGUAUAACCUAUAAGAAAUUGAACCUUUCCAUGGUACUAUCAGGCUAGAAACCUCUUUAAGUUGGUUUCUUUAUGUAUGUUUACGAUUACAAGCCCCUCAUGACUCACAGGUAAAGCUUAAAAUACUUUACAAUAAUCAAAAACCUA
Anthonomus grandis grandis is the source of this 555-nucleotide long non-coding RNA. RefSeq lists it as uncharacterized. The transcript is spliced from 3 exons. NCBI's taxonomy places the organism in Eukaryota, Metazoa, Arthropoda, Insecta, Coleoptera, Curculionidae. The record is from RefSeq and is a predicted model, not a curated record.